GAUGAACGCUGACAGAAUGCUUAACACAUGCAAGUCGACUUGAACUUCGGUUUGGGUGGCGGACGGGUGAGUAACGCGUAAAGAACUUGCCUCACAGCUAGGGACAACAUUUGGAAACGAAUGCUAAUACCGGAUAUUAUGAUUUUAGGGCAUCCUAGAAUUAUGAAAGCUAUAUGCGCUGUGAGAGAGCUUUGCGUCCCAUUAGCUAGUUGGAGAGGUAACGGCCCACCAAGGCGAUGAUGGGUAGCCGGCCUGAGAGGGUGAACGGCCACAAGGGGACUGAGACACAGCCCUUACUCAUUCGGGAGGCAGGAGUGGGUGAUAUUUGACAAAGGACCAAGAGUCUGAUCCAGCAGUUCUGUGUGGACGAUGAAGUUUUUCGGAAUGUAAAGAGCUUUCAGUUGGGAAGAAAAAAAUGACGGUACCAACAGAAUAAGUGACGGCUAAAUACGUG
This 454-nucleotide ribosomal RNA is filed under the name uncultured bacterium. RNAcentral's name for it is "partial 16S ribosomal RNA". It matches the Rfam family "Bacterial small subunit ribosomal RNA", at positions 28 to 507 of the family's 1533-position model. The record is from RNAcentral.